Equus caballus (horse) is the source of this 6821-nucleotide long non-coding RNA. The record is from Ensembl. Lineage: Eukaryota; Metazoa; Chordata; Mammalia; Perissodactyla; Equidae.
GGAUCUCUUAGGGCCAUAUUCACCCCGCAAAUACCCGGCCUGGUUAGUGUGGCAGGGAAUGUAUUAUCCGUACUGGGGGAUGAGUUUCAGUCCCCUGAGAGUCCUUGAGGGUCCCCAACACCCCUGGGCAGCCCCUCCAUGGGUGGUUAAAGAGCAGAGCGCCCCCAGCCACCUGGGCAGCAGGAAGUGCUGCUCCCGGCCCUGCAAGGAUUCCGAGUAGCCUGUGGAGUAGGCGCCCGCACUGGGAGCACAGCCCAAGGGGACCUGCUGGGGCUCGGGGCUGGGCGGCCUCCAGCAGAUUGGACGCCAGGAAGAUCGCCUCUGUAGACUGCAAGGCGCCUAGGCUCCAGACCCGGCUCUCCAGGAGACCCCAACGCCCUUUUAACUGCAGCCUGGCUCAGGUGGUGAAACACAGGCCCAGAGCAUGAGGCACACAGCUAGAAAUCGAAGACCCUUCGCUGCUAAGGUUACCCGUUCUGGUUCGUCUCCCCCACACUCUCUGCUAAAGAAAAACUAAGAAAGAGAGAGAGGCAGCCUUAUCCAUUCUUUGGUUUGUAACAGCCUGCAAAAUACAAAAUCUAUUUAAGGUAAAUCUGGUGUUGCCCAUCGUCUGAUGAGUAACAUAAAUCAAGCUUAUGGAAAAAGAAUAUUAAAUUUUCCGUGUUUUCUCGCGGGGCUGGGACCUGAGGAGUCAAGGGAGAAUUAAACAUCUUCCUCCCCCACUCCCUUUCUCUUCCGAAGUCCGUAAAUGACAACGUGUUUACACAAGUUUUUAUGUCGUCUGAGCUGCGUCCCGGCUCCGUUUCCUCCUCUGUGUAUUUUCCGCGCAGAGAGAUGUCUGCUUCGGGACGCGUUCAACCUAAACAGAACCCUGUCUGAUUGGAAAAUGUAUUUAUUUGAAAAAUCGUAACUCACAGUUUUGGUGAAAACGGCCCCCAAAUUUAUGGGAUCGCUUGGGGCGCGGCGGUCGUAAAUCAGAACGCACUGGACGCCCCCCUCCCCCGCCGCGUCCCCGCAGCAGCUCCAGUCAGGUUCUCCCGAGAGAGCGCGGGAGACAAGCCCACCCCACCCACCCCCUCCCCCCUGUCCAGCCUGCGGCCCUCUGGCCCUUCGUGCUCCAGUCCCUCCGCAGGGGUUAGUUGCUGGCUAGCGGGCAGGUGGAUUUCAUUCUGAUUCCUUUCACCCCAGCCCCGUUGCUUUCGGGACAAUUUUAUUCUGGUCAGCCUCACAACGAUCAGCUUCACGUGGUCAGUUAAUGGUGUUCUGUUGCGCACCAGUCUAUUUUAGGCAUAUCUGGUUUGUUCAUUCAUUGCACGCUGGUUAGCUUCGUGGUGCUAGACGGCUCCGCGAGUCGCCUGUGGCCGGUUCCUAACCUUUGGUCAAUUGUGUGCCGAGCUGUUUGAUGCGAAGAGGUUUAUCUCCGGUCAGUGUCAGGAAGGGCAGUCUCACCACCUGACCAUUGCUUCCCGGACAGGUCAGGGAGAUUUUUUCCUUUCACGGUCCAAUUUGAAUGCCGCGGGAGGACGGCAUCAAUCCGCUCCGCCUAUCUCCUGGUUCCUGCUGCCCCCAGACGCCAGCUGAGGACUGGGGAGAGGCUGGAGCUGGGGACGUGUCCCCAAGGACAGACGCCGCGGGCCCCACAGGCUGGGCAGUCCUGUAGUCCAGGCAGAGCUGGACGCAUUGGGCCUUCACGAGCAAUCAGCGAGUCGGCUUUCUCCUGGAAAUACAGGACUGAGCCGCAUCUCUGCGCGUCCUUUAGAUCCUGCACUUCUCUGGCAGCGUCCACAGGGAAACAAGGCAAGCUCUCCACUCCGGGCUUGUCGGUCUAAGCUCUAUCUCAAGAAGAGGGGUUUGGAGACUCAGUCAAAACUUUUGCGCCCCUUUAUCCAGAGAGGGCAAAGGAGCGUGCGGGAGCCACGCGGUUCUGCGCAAGAACGGCGGCAAGGGAGUGCGGGAAUUCGAGGUUGUGCCGCAACUCACGCGAUGCGCCCGCCCGCGGCCGCCUGCCUGGAGAACCGGUCCGCUCGCCAGGUCCCUCAGCUGCUACCUGCCAGGGGUGAUCUAUACGCAGUAGCAUUUGGUUCAAGGAAAUACAGUAUAUUUCGGUAGAGAAAACCCGGUCGGAUCAACCCAGUCCGUUCUGGGAGAUUAAGAACUGAUGUGACGUAGAAUGGGUCAGAAGUGGCGAGGGGACAGAGGGCUCCUAUUCCACUAUCCUCCCUUAAAGCUUAGGGUGAGGGUAGAGGAAGCAUAGCCCCUCCGUUCUUGGGCCUCAGUUCUCCCAGUCUAGAAUGACCUUGGUCUCGAGGGCCGUGGGACCCGCACGUUCUCGCGCGCGCUGCUGGCAGGACCGGAGCAAGACACUGAAUGUAAAUUUGUUGGAGGCCGAGGUAUUAAUCUUGAGAAAUCUGUGUCUGUCUGGCGGAGAGGUCCGCGGGAGGCUAAGCGUUUUGAUGCUGGGUUGGGGGGCUAGGUCAGCGGCUGGCUAGCUUACUGGUGAAUAUUCUGAGGUCCCCACUCUUUCCUUCUGCAUAUAGGCGUUCAGAAACUGAGUCUGCGAGCAAGGAUCUGUAUCACUAUUAGUCUGAUUAUUUUAAACAGGGCCAGGCUACAUCCAUCAUCUUUCUCAUAAUGGCCAAUUGUAAACACACUUUAAAAGAGAAAAACAAAAAAAGGGAUUUAGUGUUGACACUGGGAAAAUGCUUAGUGCUGGUGGUGUGGGGGAAUUGGCAAGCUCCCCGGUCCUUUGGGAGAGAAGUUAAGUGCUUAGUGUUUUUAGCUUUUUCCACUGAAUUUCUAAAUCUCUCAGGGGUCUUCGUCUCUUUAUAAAGUUGAAUGAAAGAAGUCCUUCCUUAAAAAGUCAGGAUGGGUAAAAAAGGCCUUGGUUUCAGGAAGGAGAAGCGCAUGGAACAGGAAGCCUGCAAACUUGGCAGACUGAGUCUUGGUCCUUUCAUUGUCAUGUCAAUUGUCUUACCAGCACCUUUCUCAGUUCCAGCCUCUUUCUGCCCAACCCUUUGCCUUGCUGCACAGAAUUUUGCUCUGGAGGGGGGAGAUGAGAAGAUCAGUGAAUGACGGAAAAAACAGAGAUCAGACAAGAAAGGCAAGAGACGUGAAUGGUGUCUGGAGAAAGGGCAAGUACACUGUGGUUUUGCCUCAUUAUCAGAUGUUAGGCCAGGUUCCCUUCCAGAAAGCGUGAGUUUGACUACCUCUUCCUGGUGCGAAGAUCACUCCCUAGCCACAUGGAGACCCCUGUCACCUCACCCACACACACCACAGGACGCAAGACUGUCCUCAUUAGCCUCCCCUAACCAUCCAGAGUGUGGAGCAAAGACCAAGAAAUAAGUCACAGAGGAACCCAGCCCCCUAAACCCAAACCAACUGCUGCCGGGUAUUAAAUUCAUUUUCAUCCAUGCAAGCAAGGCCCCCCAAAAGUCUCUAAAAGGGAACAACAAAGGUGGCAGGAGAAGAGAGAACAGAAAGGAAAGCCUAGAAACCAGAGCAGAAAUUAAUUUAAUUACCUCUUCUCCCCUGCCAUAAAUUCCGCAGAGGAAAUCAAAUCUUUCUGUGCAUGUGUAUAAAAAGCAAUCAGUCUAUUGAGCUCGCCAAAACCCAUUAUGUCUCAAACUGGGUAUCCUAAUUGAAUGAAUCUAAAUGUACCAGGCGAACAGGCAUCCACUGAGCCAGGUUUUUCCAAGGACGUUUGCCACGGAGCCAGAGAGGAUAAACAUCGGUCGGUCGGAACCACACACUAAUCAGCUUGCUUGCAGAAAAGGGGAAACUUUCUGAGCCUGGGCGCUGGCAGAUGCAUCCUAACAUUUUGCGUCAGAUUGUAAUGGAAUAUUUCUCAUAAACAGCCAAGUGUCUCUCCCAGCCACUCACCUGACAUGUUUCUUGUUGUUUAACUUCAGAUCUGACAGAUGAUGAUAACCUGGGAAAGAGAGAGGUUACAAAUGCUGAGGGCUGCGAGGCUGGGCAGUGUAAAGGGCGCCUGCUCGAGAACGGAGACAGGGCUGUGAUUUGUAGGGCCCGGAAAAGGUUGUUAUGCAACCCACGGCAAGCAGGCAAGCAGGGGAAAAAACUGUAAUUGCAUAAACCCAGAUGCAUUUGUCACCGGGACCAGACAUUUAAACAUGUGUAUGUUUCGUCUCCAUGUCUUGUCAUUUGAUCUGACAGCUUUCUGCUUGCUCUAUCUGAUAUUAGUUUAGGGUUGUCCUUGCCUGAGGCAGCCCAGCCGUCAUCCUGGAUCGAAAUUGAGUGGGGUGGUCCCCACCUUGUACCAAACAGAACAGUCAGAGUUGAUUUUUGAAGAUUCCAGCAAAAUUGCACAGGCAACCGAGAAACAGGAUAGUGGGGUGUUUCCAGGACAAAUGUGCAAUUCUCUCCUGAAACCAUGAGGCAGACCCCUCCCCUUCGGUCACAGCACACUAACAACAAUGACAGCUGUGUUAAGCUCUUACUAUAUACCAUGCACUUUACGCACAUCUCUCAUUUAAUCUUCACAGCGACACUAUUAACUGCAUUUUAUAGAUAUGAAAUUGAUGCCCAAGGUCACCCAGCUAGGACAUUGGAGAAGUAGGAUUCAAACCCAGGUCUCCAUAACUCCGAAGUCCUUACUUUUAACCACUACAAUGAUGUGUGUGUUUCGGGGUGGAGGUACUUAAAAUGCUAAAAAGAUUUUUAUUUCUCUAACAGUAAUAUACUCUCAUUAAAGAAGAAUAUGAACCUGCCACCCAAACACUGCAACUGUGUUUCACUCUCUCACCCUCAAGCACUAUACUAAGAGUCCUUCUUGAUACAUGGAGUCCACGUUCAUCAGUUUUAAUAGUAGCAUCAGGUGCUCAUCAGUUGCAUCUAAAUAGAUGUCUUGUCAUAAUGAGGUUAUAGACUCCAUGAGGAGAGGAGCCAAUUCUGCUCUAAUCACUGAUGUAUUCCCAGCACCCAGCACAGUACUUACACAUCGAAAUUACUCAACAAACAUUUGUUGAAUGAAUGAAUGAUAACUUAAUAGAGACAAUUCUAAGGAGAUGCCUCUGGCGGUAUGAUCAUAUAGAAGUUAAUCAUACAGGACAGCCCCGUCACAUGGUGGGUGCUGAAGAAGACGUGGUUGAAGGAGCAAUCUUUUAGGAGGAGAGCUGGCACAUGGAAUUUUUAAAAUAAAGUCUCACCCAAAUUCGUAAAAUGGAGCUAAAAUAGAUUCUCCACCUUAGUUAAGUCCCUCUCUGCCUCUGUGUUUUCUGAUCUCAGCUCUGUGCCCUCUCAUGACGUGAUCCCAGGCCCAGACCCUCAUCGGGGACCAUCCAGUCCCAAAGGUCGAUAUGUUCGUAUGCUCCUAAGUCAAGUGUCCACCGCCAGGGCUGGCAAUGUAGGGAGUCAGACCUCAGUGAAGUUCGUCAGAAUGAUUUGAGAUUUGUGUCCAGUCCUGGAUUCCAGAAGUCAUACUUUGCACCUACCCCCAUCUACACGUUUAGAAUGAAUUUCUAGGGGAAAAAAGUGAAUAUGAUUAAUAUUAAGUAAAAAAAAGCAGCUCACAAAGUUAAACAUGCAGGGCUAUUUUAUUUUUUCAAAAUAAGAAUGGCUUUAUUUUUAGGACAAAAUGAAUAGCAUGAACCCACAUCCAAAUGUGAGUGAGACAUUUCACUGGAUUUUAUAAAAGAAAAAGAUGUACUCAGGUGUCAUCUAAAAACUGGAACCGUCAAAUAGGCAUAUGAAAGAAGACACCCCAACACGAUCAUUGUUGGUGGAAUCGUUGGAAUUACGGAUGAUAUUUUUGCCUUUCCUCAAUUUCUUAAACUUAGUGUAAUGUUGUAUUUUACAGCUAUCAUCUUGUAAUUAAAAAAUAAAUUCAUACUCCAAACUAAAUGUACAACCUAAAUAUAAUUCCUGUGAGAGGAGACAGUCAAUAAGAAAAAAUGCCAAGGCAACUUUGGCUAUAAAAAUAGUGAGAACAAGAACAACAACGUCUAUUGGGCACUCAUAAUGUGGCAGGCAAUGUAUGAAGUAUUCUUUACAUGGAUUAGCCCAUUCAUCUCAAAAGCACUUCGUCAGAAAAGUGCGGUUAUUGUCCCCACUUUACAGGUAAAGAAACUGAGGCACAGAGAAUUUAAGUAACGUGUCCAAGUUUCCCAGCUGGUAAGGGGCAGGGUUGUGAUUUGAGGCUGUUGAUCCUCCAAACACAUUUAUGGAAGGAUGGAAAAAAGCGGGAGGGUGAGAGGAAGGAAAGAGGUGAAGAAAAAAGUUGUCCCAUCGGUAAGAAUAGUUGGACCAAUGAAAUGGAUGUGUGAGAUAUCUGUGUCUAACCGAGCACCGGAAUCAUCUAGGGGGCUAGUUUAAAAUGCAGAAUCUUAGCUUCACCUCAGACCUGCUGAAUCAGAAUCUGCAUUUUAAAAGCAUUCCAAGGGAUUUAUAUGCACAUUCAAGUUUGGGAAGCCUGGUAAUCAAGAUAGUUAAUAAAGAAUCCAUUUGAGAAAACAGAGAGAGAGAAUCCAUUGGCAUCUGCCUGAGCUGGUACCACCUCCUCAGAAAUAGGGGCAUCGCUGCAUGAAUGAGUGUUUUUCAAAGCGCAAGUGAAGCCUGUUUCACAGAUUGGGAAAACAUCUUAAUGAAUCACGAUCAGAAAUUUUUUUAAACAAAAGAAUAGAAUAGAAAAUAUCAAAGUGCAUCUCUUGGAGGAAGGGGAAGUGUUACUGCAUGAAACGCUUAUUUCGAGUGUGUGUGUACACCGAGUCCUGACGUACAAUGUCCAUCUUGUAUGUGCUCUCUGCCAAAAAAAGGUUUAGCAACUGGCCUUCACACUGUGGCCUGAGACAGCCAUGAAAUUCCAG